GACGAACGCUGGCGGCGUGCCUAAUACAUGCAAGUCGAACGCUUCUUUCCUCCCGAGUGCUUGCACUCAAUUGGAAAGAGGAGUGGCGGACGGGUGAGUAACACGUGGGUAACCUACCCAUCAGAGGGGGAUAACACUUGGAAACAGGUGCUAAUACCGCAUAACAGUUUAUGCCGCAUGGCAUAAGAGUGAAAGGCGCUUUCGGGUGUCGUUGAUGGAUGGACCCGCGGUGCAUUAGCUAGUUGGUGAGGUAACGGCUCACCAAGGCCACGAUGCAUAGCGGACCGGGGGGGGGAUUGGGCCACCUGGGGCUGGAGACAGGGCCCGAACCCUAAGGGGAGCCGGCGGAGGGAAAUUUUGGGCAUUGGCGGAAGUUUGAACGAGGCACGGCGGGUGAGUGAAGAAGGUUUUUGGGUUGGAAAACUCCGGUGGUAGAGAAGAACAAGGACGUUAGUAACUGAACGUCCCCUGACGGUAUCUAACCAGAAAGCCACGGCUAACUACGUG
This 507-nucleotide ribosomal RNA is filed under the name uncultured bacterium. RNAcentral describes it as "partial 16S ribosomal RNA". It matches the Rfam family "Bacterial small subunit ribosomal RNA", at positions 28 to 507 of the family's 1533-position model. The record is from RNAcentral.